RNAcentral lists this ribosomal RNA (496 nucleotides) under uncultured bacterium. Its description in RNAcentral is "partial 16S ribosomal RNA". It matches the Rfam family "Bacterial small subunit ribosomal RNA", at positions 29 to 507 of the family's 1533-position model. The record is from RNAcentral.
AUGAACGCUGGCGGCGUGCCUAAUACAUGCAAGUCGAGCGAACGGACGAGAAGCUUGCCUCUCUGAUGUUAGCGGCGGACGGGUGAGUAACACGUGGAUAACCUACCUAUAAGACUGGGAUAACUUCGGGAAACCGGAGCUAAUACCGGAUAAUAUUUUGAACCGCAUGGUUCAAAAGUGAAAGACGGUCUUGCUGUCACUUAUGGAUGGAUCCGCGCUGCAUUAGCUAGUUGGUAAGGUAACGGCUUACCAAGGCAACGAUGCAUAGCCGACCUGAGAGGGUGAUCGGCCACACUGGAACUGAGACACGGUCCAGACUCCUACGGGAGGCAGCAGUAGGGAAUCUUCCGCAAUGGGCGAAAGCCUGACGGAGCAACGCCGCGUGAGUGAUGAAGGUCUUCGGAUCGUAAAACUCUGUUAUUAGGGAAGAACAUAUGUGUAAGUAACUGUGCACAUCUUGACGGUACCUAAUCAGAAAGCCACGGCUAACUACGCG